UACGGAGGGUGCAAGCGUUAUCCGGAUUCACUGGGUUUAAAGGGUGCGUAGGCGGGUAUUUAAGUCAGUGGUGAAAUCCUAGAGCUUAACUCUAGAACUGCCAUUGAUACUAUUUAUCUUGAAUAUUGUGGAGGUAAGCGGAAUAUGUCAUGUAGCGGUGAAAUGCUUAGAUAUGACAUAGAACACCUAUUGCGAAGGCAGCUUACUACGCAUAUAUUGACGCUGAGGCACGAAAGCGUGGGGAGCAAACAGG
Molecule: ribosomal RNA, 253 nt
Filed under: uncultured Sphingobacteriales bacterium
Lineage: Bacteria; Pseudomonadati; Bacteroidota; Sphingobacteriia; Sphingobacteriales
Description: partial 16S ribosomal RNA
Rfam family: Bacterial small subunit ribosomal RNA
Source: RNAcentral